AUGCGCAUUGUGAAGGUUUUGUCUCUCAGGUCUUUUGGCCUUGAAUUGGAUGCAGUUCUUAACAUCCUUGGGUGGUUUCCCUUUCUGGAAAAGCUCUACAUAAUUUUCCACAAACAUAAGGAGAUGAAUAAUGGAAAUGAGCAUCGGUAUGACCCACUACAUCCAAUUGAAUGCCUUGAGACCCAUCUCAAAAAAGUUGUGUUUAAGUCAUUUGUAGGCCAUGAUAAACAAGUUAACUUUCCCACGUUCUUUAUUUUGAAUGCAAAGGUGUUAAAAAAAUUGAAUUUGAUGUAUAUGGUAGCAGUGUAUCAGUAG
This 315-nucleotide ribosomal RNA is filed under the name Triticum aestivum (bread wheat). RNAcentral describes it as "partial small subunit ribosomal RNA". Lineage: Eukaryota; Viridiplantae; Streptophyta; Magnoliopsida; Poales; Poaceae. The record is from RNAcentral.